GAAGGUGGCUCAGUGGUAGAGCUCUUGCCUUGCAUGCAUGAGGCCCUGGGUUUGAUUCCUCAGUACCAUCU
This is a non-coding RNA of Dipodomys ordii (Ord's kangaroo rat), 71 nucleotides long. The record is from Rfam. NCBI's taxonomy places the organism in Eukaryota, Metazoa, Chordata, Mammalia, Rodentia, Heteromyidae.